CGUUCUUAGUUGCUUGUUUGCGUCCAGGCUUCUUAAACUUCGGUUUCUUGUGUUGAGUUGUCCAAGUUACAGUUCUACCCAAGUUUUGUUAUUGAUAAUAGCUUGAUUUUCCUCAAAAACUCUAAGUAUUAGUCCAACGCCCCCCACCCCCACACAUGCUCUCUCCUCAAAGACCCUCUCUAGCAAGUGUUCUUUGCCCACUGAAAACCCUCAAAUACCUAAUCUCACCUCCCUCCUCUCCAACGCCUUUCUUACAGUUUCUCUCCUCAAUUCGGUCCUCUAUCAUUCUUAUCAAUUAUUGCCUGCAUUUUCAUUUUCGAUUCUUUUUUAUUCUCAAUCUCAUGCUUAAAACCCCCUAAUUUUCAGCUCGAAUUUGGUGUUUUUUUGACGAAAUUGGAGUUCUAUAAGGAAUUAGGUUAGACAAAGAGUGAAUUAAAAUCAACAAUGAAGAGGAGAUAAUGAGCGAUUUAGAGAUGAAUCCAGUUUCAAAUUCGUAUUCGUUAGUUUUAGGGUUAUCUCAGCAAGUAGUUGGAUGCUCUUUAAUAUCUAAGAAGAAGCAAAUUUUCUUGCUAGGAGUUAUAUGAUAUUGUCAACACAAGAAGUUGAAGAUUUCAUAGGAAUUCUUUUCUGCCUCUUUUUGGAAAGGCAAUUACUAGGCUUAAAUGGAGCUUUGCAUAAUUGCUUGCGAUCAGCUAUCAACUUCUCUGAGGAGAAAGAAUGGAAUGGAAGCUGUGAGGAAGUUGUAAAAUCAAUUGCAGACAGGUGUGGAGGUGUAGAAGAUGCUCGAAAAAUUAUAAAGAAAUCUGGGAUAUCCAAUCUCAAUGUGAUAUCCUGCAAGAGAGAUAUUUGACUCGUUAAAAGACCGCGAUAUGGUUGCCUGGACAUCAAUGAUAGUAGGCUAUGAGCAGAAUUAGGGGUCGCAAUUAUUAGCUAGUUGUUUAUACUUGUGUCAUGGCAUAUUAAUUUUUAUUUGAUUAAUAAAAUUUCACUUUAUAUCCUUUUUAUUCGUUCUUUUGAUUUUUAUAAAAGUAGUCUUAGGGGCUGCCACACUAAAAGCUACUUGUAUAAGUACCUGCUAGAGCUGUACAAUUUUUUUUUAGAAAAAAAAACUAUAAAAUACUCCGGUUGUUAAGAAAAAACCGGAGCAUUUAACAAACAAAUGCUCCGGUUUUGUCUAAAUAACCGGAGCAUUUGACUGUCAAAUGCUCCGGUUUUUUUAGUGUAAGGCUAUGUGCAAGGUUUCAAGCCAAUCCAAAGGAAUCUCAUCUCACAACGGUGAAGAGAAUCCUAAGAUACCUCAAAGGAACAAAUGAUUUGAGCCUAUUCUAUUCAAGAAGUGAUACCUUUGAACUAAAAGGAUUCGCAGAUGCUGACUAUGCAGGAGAUCUGGUCAAUAGAAAAAGUACAUCAGGUAUGGUUUAGUUCCUUAGUCAUAGUUUGGUUUCUUGGAGUACCAAGAAGCAAAACACAGUUGCUUUAUCUACAACUGAGGCUGAAUAUGUUGCAGCAGCAGCAUGUUGUUCCCAAAUGCUAUGGAUAAAACAACAACUUCGUGACUAUGGAAUUUACUUUGAGUGUGUUCCCAUCUAUUGUGAUAAUACUAGUGCAAUUAGUAUUUCUAAAGAUCCCGUGCAUCAUUCUAGAGUUAAGCAUAUCCAUAUUAGGCAUCAUUUUCUAAAGGAUAAUGUUGAGAAGGGCCUUAUUAAAAUGGAAUUUUGUGAAACUGAACGUCAGAUUUUUGAUAUUCUGACCAAGCCCUUAAAUAGAGAUAGAUUUGAAAAACUGAGACUUGAACUUAGCUUGAUUAAGUUGAAAUAAUUGCUAUAAUCUUUUUCCCUAUUGGUCUGACUCUUUGGCAUUAUGUAUGUGUGAAUAAAUUUGAUGUUUUUAUUUGUUUAAAAUGCAUCACAAUCUUUAUAUGAUUAUUUCAUAUGUAUAAGUAAAAAUGUCUGCAAACUGCUGACCAAGGUCCAAUAAUAUUCCCCUUAUUGUUCAUAAGACAAUUCUAUGCCUUAAGAGUUGACAAGGAAUUAAAUGAUUAAUUGUGUUCCAAAGUAGCAAAAUUUGUUGUUUCCAGUUGCUGUUCCCAAACGCUGUUCCCAGCGUAAUAAAUCUAGGAUUUAUUUUCAAAAUUUCGAAAUUCAAAAUCAAAAUCCAAAAAUAUUUUGUUCAGAUUUUUACUCUUAAAGAAAUCUGAUCCUAAUCCCUUUAUUCUCUCCUAAUAUCUCUCAAAUUAGUUGGGAAAUAUUAUCUUUAAUUUCUUUAUUUAAUUUUCUUUGUUUUUUUUUUCUCUUCGAACCGUGUACAAUACACGGUUAAGUUUUUUUUUUUACUUUUCACCUUCCUUCAUUACUCCCUAGUUUUCCCCGUAAACAAAAAAAUUACACCUUUUCACCUCAAACAAAACUGAAAAAUCUCCUAAAAUCAUGAACACCAAACAAACCUCUCAUUCUCUCUCUAGCCAAAAACCCGAAAAACCCUCUCCCUCUUCCACUCAAACCGAAUCUCCAACUCCCAUGGAUAUCUCUCCCAAUCCAUCAAAAAGGAUCUUAAGAAAGAGGAAGCAAACUGAAGAAACUUGGGAAAUGGAAGUGGAGGAAUCACAUACAAAUGUUGAGGGGGAAUCGACGGUUCCUGUGAGAGGAACAACCAAGGUUGUAAAAAGAAAAUCCAUCGCAACAUGAUCAAAGGAUGAUGAUUUAGGUCAACAUGUACUUCAACCUCGUCAAUCAUUUUCUUGGAAAUUCAGUGGGAAUAUUUUUAAUUCCACCCUUUUUUGGUGCGAUGUUUGGUCCAUAAAAUAUGGUCAUACUUAUAGUGUAGUUUACACUAUGAAAGAUCAUUUUUAUCAUUAUUGUAAUUAUGAUGAUUGUACUUGGACUAUAAAUGAGCAAGGGAUUAAUGUAAUAGAUCUUAAGACUAAUAAACCUGUGCUUUGGCAUAAGUGGAAUGAGAAGCCACCUACCAAAAGAAAUAUGUAGACCCAUAUUAGCCUCUAUAAGUAUAAGGUCGAUCUCUAUGAAUGUAAUAACGAAGAAGAUACUCUUGUUCUAUAUUCAAAUUAUUCAUUUCAAGAAAGGCAAUCAUGUUAUGUAGACUUCCAAAUCUAUUUAUGCUAAUGAUAAGUUUGAAUUUUUAUUGAU
Long non-coding RNA from Beta vulgaris subsp. vulgaris (sugar beet), 3143 nucleotides. RefSeq lists it as uncharacterized. The transcript has 4 exons. The record is from RefSeq and is a predicted model, not a curated record. NCBI's taxonomy places the organism in Eukaryota, Viridiplantae, Streptophyta, Magnoliopsida, Caryophyllales, Amaranthaceae.